UGCGCAGGCGGAAUAAUUAGUCAGUGGUGAAAUCUCCCGGCUCAACCGGGAAACUGCCAUUGAUACUGUUAUUCUUGAGUAUAGUUGUAGUGGGCGGAAUAUAGCAUGUAGCGGUGAAAUGCUUAGAUAUGCUAUAGAACACCGAUCGCGAAGGCAGCUCACUAAACUAUAACUGACGCUCAGGCACGAAAGCGUGGGGAGCAAACAGGAUUAGAUACCCUGGUAGUCC
RNAcentral lists this ribosomal RNA (229 nucleotides) under uncultured bacterium. Its description in RNAcentral is "partial 16S ribosomal RNA". It matches the Rfam family "Bacterial small subunit ribosomal RNA", at positions 568 to 796 of the family's 1533-position model. The record is from RNAcentral.